GCAGUCGACGGUACAGGAUGUGCUUGCACAUCGCUGACGAGUGGCGGACGGGUGAGUAAUGCUUGGGAACUUGCCUUUGCGAGGGGGAUAACAGUUGGAAACGACUGCUAAUACCGCAUAAUGUCUUCGGACCAAACGGGGCUUAGGCUCCGGCGCAAAGAGAGGCCCAAGUGAGAUUAGCUAGUUGGUAAGGUAACGGCUUACCAAGGCGACGAUCUCUAGCUGUUCUGAGAGGAAGAUCAGCCACACUGGGACUGAGACACGGCCCAGACUCCUACGGGAGGCAGCAGUGGGGAAUAUUGCACAAUGGGGGAAACCCUGAUGCAGCCAUGCCGCGUGUGUGAAGAAGGCCUUCGGGUUGUAAAGCACUUUCAGUUGUGAGGAAAAGUUAGUAGUUAAUACCUGCUAGCCGUGACGUUAACAACAGAAGAAGCACCGGCUAACUCCGUGCCAGCAGCCGCGGUAAUACGGAGGGUGCGAGCGUUAAUCGGAAUUACUGGGCGUAAAGCGCACGCAGGCGGUUUGUUAAGCUAGAUGUGAAAGCCCCGGGCUCAACCUGGGAUGGUCAUUUAGAACUGGCAGACUAGAGUCUUGGAGAGGGGAGUGGAAUUCCAGGUGUAGCGGUGAAAUGCGUAGAUAUCUGGAGGAACAUCAGUGGCGAAGGCGACUCCCUGGCCAAAGACUGACGCUCAUGUGCGAAAGUGUGGGUAGCGAACAGGAUUAGAUACCCUGGUA
RNAcentral lists this ribosomal RNA (735 nucleotides) under uncultured bacterium. Its description in RNAcentral is "bacterial SSU rRNA". It matches the Rfam family "Bacterial small subunit ribosomal RNA", at positions 57 to 792 of the family's 1533-position model. The record is from RNAcentral.